UAAUCUUUUACCCCUGCCUGCCCCAUAGCGUCUGCUCUCCAUGACACAUCCCUGAGUGGUACAGAGUCUGACCCAGAGAGUGAAAAUAGAGUCCAGAGAAUCCCAUCCCACCCAAAGGCUUUAUCAUCCGUCCAAACUGUGCAGUCCCCCGUAGAUCCCUCUCCUGCUCCCCUGCCCUGUAAAGCUCCCCAGAUGACCUCUACCCCUCUUCCAAAGUACACAAAGAAGGAAGAGUUGACAGUGGACAGUAGCGAUAAAUCUGAUGAGGAGAAGGAAGAAGACGAGGAAGAAGAGGCGAAGGAAGGAGAUGUGUCAGAUGAUCCUCCUGAAGACGGUGGAGAAUUCAUCGAUACCACUUUGGCUGUUCCUGAGGCAGAAGGCUCCAAAGAGAAGAAAAGAGAUUUACUGUCUGAGCUGGGUCUGGAGAAUGGUGAGGAGGAGCAGGAUACAUGGGAUACUGAGUCCAACUCUGAAAACUCCCCUGCCCCGCACGAAGAAAGGCCAAGCUUCCAAGCCCCCGAAGAAAGGAUGACCACUCCAAAAGAAGAAAUCAAAGAAGACUUGCUUUACAUUCCCUCUUUUAUAAGACGGGAAGGAGACAGUAGGAUGGCAGUGCUAGAGACUCGGAAGAAUAUAGGCAGGCCAGG
This 647-nucleotide long non-coding RNA is filed under the name Salarias fasciatus (jewelled blenny). Its description in RNAcentral is "lncRNA (ENSSFAG00005017696.1)". The record is from RNAcentral. Lineage: Eukaryota; Metazoa; Chordata; Actinopteri; Blenniiformes; Blenniidae.